Molecule: long non-coding RNA, 952 nt
Organism: Cheilinus undulatus (humphead wrasse)
Lineage: Eukaryota; Metazoa; Chordata; Actinopteri; Labriformes; Labridae
Exons: 3
Source: RefSeq, a predicted model, not a curated record
GAUGGUGACCGUCCAUCUAUGGGUGCCGGGCUGCUGAUGAAUGUGACGGGCGGCGUGGGUGCUGUUUUUGGGAUCCCUGCUGGAUACUCAUCAACUUCCCCGAGGACCUGUUAACUUCAAACACAGAGAUGAUCAUCAGACUGGGAAGACUGACACCUGGGUACUUUCGACUCCUGCAGCGUCAGGUGUCUGGUGAGGUCCGGAUACAGCCGCAGAGCAGCCUCAUCGACCCCAUCGCCAUGACGAUGGCCACACUGGGUAUGGGCGUGUCUCUGUACAGCGCCAGGAGGAUGUCAGACAGAGUCCAUCUGAGUCCUCACCACGCCUGAGAUCACUGAGAAACAGUCUGAAGCAGACGGCCGCCCGUCAGAGCGGCUCUGUGGGCGGAACGUGUGGUCGUUUGUGUACGUCACUGAGGGUCUGUGUUGAGGUCAGAGAGAGAGUUAGUGUGUUUGUGGUGUUGAUUGAAGGAAACUGUGAGGUGUGUCAGCAGGGAAAAGUGAGUCACUGCUCAGAGAGGUUUGUCAUAGCCAAAAAAAAUUAACACUUUUAGUCUAAUCACACUAAGAGCAAAUAAAUGCGAGCCUUUAGUCGGUCCACCCUGUACAGAAAAUUUGUAUUUGUAAAAUGUAAUUUAAAUAAAUAAGCAUAUCAGGAACACAGCUUUAAAGUUCAUUCUGCUAAUGUUUUAUUAUAAUAUAUGGUAAAAUGGAGAGGAAAAACACAAAUAUGCUUGAAUAUAAAAUAGAACAUUCUCCCACUAUAAAAGCUUGAGUCACAAACAUGCCAUUUUUCCUGAAGAAAAAUGGUGAAAUCAUUGUUUUUUUAUUUUCAGCACCUUAAUCUUUUAAAUUAAAAAUGCAAAUCCUAAAGCAGAUUUGAACAUUUAAUGUACAUGAGGCACACUAGCUUCUGUUGAAGAUAUUUAUUUCAGGAUAUUUUCAUUUUUUAC